GACGAACGCUGGCGGCGUGCUUAACACAUGCAAGUCGAACGGAAAGGCCCUGCUUGUGUGGGGUGCUCGAGUGGCGAACGGGUGAGUAACACGUGAGUAACCUGCCCUUGACUUUGGGAUAACUUCAGGAAACUGGGGCUAAUACCGGAUAGGAGCUCCUGCUGCAGGGGGGGGGUUGGAAAGUUUCGGCGGAUGGGGAUGGAGUCGCGGCUUAUCAGCUUGUGGGUGGGGUAGUGGCUUACCAAGGCUUUGACGGGUAGCCGGCCUGAGAGGGUGACCGGCCACAUUGGGACUGAGAUACGGCCCAGACUCCUACGGGAGGCAGCAGUGGGGAAUAUUGCACAAUGGGCGGAAGCCUGAUGCAGCAACGCCGCGUGCGGGAUGACGGCCUUCGGGUUGUAAACCGCUUUAGCCUGUGACGAAGCGUGAGUGACGGUAAUGGGUAAAGAAGCACCGGCUAACUACGUG
Molecule: ribosomal RNA, 468 nt
Filed under: uncultured bacterium
Lineage: Bacteria
Description: partial 16S ribosomal RNA
Rfam family: Bacterial small subunit ribosomal RNA
Source: RNAcentral